Labrus mixtus (cuckoo wrasse) is the source of this 1940-nucleotide long non-coding RNA. RefSeq lists it as uncharacterized. Lineage: Eukaryota; Metazoa; Chordata; Actinopteri; Labriformes; Labridae. The record is from RefSeq and is a predicted model, not a curated record. The transcript is spliced from 2 exons.
AGUGCAAAAGUAAGUUUAGUAAUCCAAAAAUUCACCUCAAACGUUACAACAGUUCUCUAUUUUCAUUUACACUUUAAAAAAAAAAAAGAAAAAAAAGCAACAAGCAUUUUUCAGAGUAUUCAUGCCCCUUAUGGUUAUGUGUGUGUUUUUUUUAAAAGAUGUAUUCUUGGGCCAUGUUUGCCUUUAUUGAGAGAUAGGAAUUGUUGAAAGGAGAUAGUGGGGUAUGGCAUUCAGCAAAGGGCCAAUGCAUAACCGCUAAUACAUAAUGUUGCAUUUUUAAGAAUUGAAUUCUUCCUGUUGACAACAAUUGACUUCAAGUCACCAAAAGGUAUUAUUAUUAUCUCUCCUGCAGUAUUUGAAUGCACAAGCUUUGAUUAUUGCUCUACUUCCGGAAAAAGCAACAUGUAUGCAUCUCUAAAGAUAUUGUAAUUUCUAAUAUAACAGAAUAAUCUUAUUAAUUUAAUUUAAUUAUAAUGUAAAUAAUUUGUAUACUUUAUUAAUCCUGCGAGGGGAAAUUCAGUUUUCCACUCUGUUUAAUGUACAUGAACACACACACAGGCUGAAAUACACACAUGCACAAACAGGAUCCUAUGGACAUGCACUAAUGGAGAUGUCAGAGUGAGGGGGCUGCCCACAGCGAGCGCUCCAGAGCAGUUUUGGGGUUCGGGUGCCUUGCUCAAGGGCACCUCGACAGUGCUCAGGAAGUGGGCUGGCUCCUUUCCAGCUACCAGACCAAUUUCCGGACUUGAUCCGUGCCGGGACUUGAAACGGCGACCCUCCUGUUCCCAGCCCAAGUCCCUACAGACUGAGCUUCUGCCGCCCCAAACAUAAAACGUAAACAUUUGAACAUGUCAAGGUUAAAGUCUGUCUGUGAGACUUUCAUAAAAUGAAUAACUGUCAAUAAACGUUGGUGGCAUUUAUUGUCGUCCAAACUAUGUUAUUUUUAAACCAGCAAAAAUAAAGCUCUAUUGUAUACGUAUGUAUGUAUCAGAAAUAAACCAAAUGUAUUUUCAGUAACCUCUUAGUAUUGACGUUUGUUUGAACUGAAUGCACAUUAAAUGCCAACAGUUAUGUAACCCAUAACACUAUAUUUACAAACACCUUCUAAAAGUUUAUUGCUGACAUCUGUGCUGCAUCUCCACAGGCCAAACAUUUAGAGAAGAAAGCUACUGAAUACUAAGCAAUUGUUUUUUUUUAACCACUAAAAUAUUGCAUGUAUGUUCUUAGAGGUGCAGUAGUUCAUAUAACAAUCACAACUCUUAACACAGCUUGUAACUUUAAAAUAUCUUUUUGCCGAGGAUGUAAAUCCAGAACAGAAUUUGUUUUUGUUCAGUUUUAUUUAAAACAUGUAUACACAAGUGUACAUAUAUAUAUAUAUGUAGAGAGAGAGAGAGAGCGAGAGAGAAAGAGGGAUUUUUAUACUUUGUAUUUCUACUGGUGAUGGAUAUUUAAAGAUCAAAAUGCUGCUGCAGCACUGAAUCAUAGACCAAAUUUAAAACAGCUCUGAUCAGACAAAUAUUACAGAUAUGUAGACUCGAGCUCAUCAUUUCUAAAUGACAAAUGAUUGUGUUCUUAUAUCAUUGUACUUAUUUCCUGUUGUAUCUUGUGUCUUACAUUUUGUAACUUUUUGCCUUGGACAAUAACUUCACACAGAUUUAAAAUGUUCAUUGUAUCAAAGUAAAUAAUUGUAAAAUAAUUUAAACAGUUUUGUCCUCUGUCUUUUAUAUCACACGUGUAUGAUUGUAUUUUAACAUUAAUUUACUACACAUAUCAUAUUGCUACCAUAAACUCUCUUUUUCACAAAUAGCUACAUUCACAUUCACACACCUGAUGCCCAGAGGAAGGCAAAAUGUUUAUGGCAUUUUCGGAUGCCUUGCACUUGGUGAGUCAAUCCUAAUAAAGCCUAUCUAAACCAAACUAUGCUAAGACAACAUUAAUAA